This is a long non-coding RNA of Cucumis melo (muskmelon), 1727 nucleotides long. RefSeq lists it as uncharacterized. NCBI's taxonomy places the organism in Eukaryota, Viridiplantae, Streptophyta, Magnoliopsida, Cucurbitales, Cucurbitaceae. The transcript has 2 exons. The record is from RefSeq and is a predicted model, not a curated record.
GAUUUUUUGCAUUAAAGACCGAAGUGCAACAACAAUUUUAAGACGAUUUCUUCUCUACUGUGAUGGCCGGAAAUCAAAUCUCCGCCAGCAUCUGUUUCCUAUUCCCGAUCGAAUCGCCCUUCUUGUUUUGGCUAUCUAUCACUGGAAAUACCAACCGAUCCUCAUCGGAAAUUAGCUGUGAACCAAAAAAUAGAAGGCAUGGUGGGAUUUUUCGCGAUUCCGUUGGAAAUUUCAGCUAGGUUAUUGUGGACUACCAACUUCUUCCGCCAUAAGCGAUCUUGAUUUUCUUUUUUUUCUUUUACUUAAUUUCUAUUUCCUUCUCGAGAUUACUGUUCUUGUUUUAGGUUAGUACUAAAUCUUCGCCUUGCAUAAAUUUGAAAUUCCUUACUAAUUUCACCUCUGAGGCGCUGGGGUUGAAGAAAGGAGUAGGAGAUUCGAAUGGAAUCUGGUCAGUUCUUGUUUAAUCUGCCACCUUGCGGUGGGAACAUGCUUUACCUUGGCGGAACCGGCGGCUAUUCUUAUCCGCGAGUCUUUGUUCCUUUUAACAAUCCGUUCAAUUGUUGCCUUGUUUCUUUCAUCAUUAUUUGUCGGACCUGGACGAUUUUUUGCAUUGAAGACCGAAAUACAAUAACAGAAAAUGUCUCUCAUAUUUAGCUGCUCAAGAGUGCUCUUAAUGACAAAUUCUGACUUAAAGAUUUGGGGAUCUCUCAAAGUUUUUUCUUGGUCUUGCGUUUGACCGAUCUUCUUCUGGCUUGUUUUUAUCACAAAGACCCUAUACAAUUUACAUUCGCAUCUUCUUGAAGAUGUUGGACUGACUUCUUGGUGUCAAGCCCACAACAGUGCCCAUUGAUCCUUCACUAAAGUUGACUGCUUCUUAGAUGGAUAUCCUUCAUGACCCAACUGCUUACAGGAGAUUAGUUGGAAGAUUGUUUUAUCUAACCAUUUCAAGACCUGAUAUCAUAUUUGUUGUACGUAAACUCAGUCAAUUGUUUCCCGCUCAUCUGUUGAGAUAUAUCAAAAGUUCCCCUGGCAAAGGGAUUUUCUUAUCCAAGGUUCAAGACAUCUCAAUUCGGGCAUUUGCUUUAUGCUAAUUGGGGGUCACUGGAUUUUGUGCCUUUCUUGAGAAUUCCAACUAAACAUAUGGAACUGUUUGAGACGGAGUCAUAGAUGGUUCUGAAAAGGUGUUAUAAGGCUCCUUCCCCUAGUCAACUAGCUCUUCAAAGCUAACAUUUGUAUUCCACCUGUAUAUCUGUUUCCUCUUUUAAGCAGGAAGGGAGUUGAGAGAUAUUCUCUUCCCAUCUUGAGGGAGAGGGAGAGGGAGAGUAUUGGAAGAGUUGAUUGAGAGGUGAAGUUUAGUUAGUCGAUUAGAAAGUGGUUAUUAGAUUUGUUAUUAUUAUAACAAAUUAUUUACCUUUCUAGUUUAUAGAUAUCAUUGGGUUAUUGUUACUCUUCUUCUAUAUUGGGAAGUAAGGUUAAUUAGCACCCCUCAAAUUGUUAUAGCCUAAUCAAAUUGGUGAUCAGUGCUUACAUCCCAUAACCACAAAUUAAUCAGUUAUUUAAGAAUGUCACGUCAUGGUGGGCAGCUGUACCCCAAUUUUUAAUUAAAAUAAUUCACCCCUAAACCCCAAAUUAAAAGUUAUUUUAAUACAUUUAAUAUUACACCAACAUCAUCUUCUUCUUCUUGCUUCUUCAAUAAAACCUCAUGAUUGAAGAUCAGAAUUUAAAAA